AUUGAACGCUGGCGGCAUGCCUUACACAUGCAAGUCGAACGGCAGCACGGGUGCUUGCACCUGGUGGCGAAUGGCGAACGGGUGAGUAAUACAUCGGAACGUACCUUAUCGUGGGGGAUAACGCAGCGAAAGUUGCGCUAAUACCGCAUACGCCCUGAGGGGGAAAGCGGGGGACUGUAAGGCCUCGCGCGAUUAGAGCGGCCGAUGUCUGAUUAGCUUGUUGGUGAGGUAAAAGCUCACCAAGGCGAUGAUCAGUAGCUGGUCUGAGAGAACGAUCAGCCACACUGGGACCGAGACACGGCCCAGACUCCUACGGGAGGCAGCAGUGGGGAAUUUUGGACAAUGGGGGCAACCCUGAUCCAGCAAUGCCGCGUGAGUGAAGAAGGCCUUCGGGUUGUAAAGCUCUUUCGUCAGGGAAGAAACAGCAGCUCUAACACAGUCUGCGAAUGACGGUACCUGAAGAAUAAGCACCGGGUAACUACGUGCCAGCCGCCGCAGUAA
This 501-nucleotide ribosomal RNA is filed under the name uncultured bacterium. RNAcentral describes it as "partial 16S ribosomal RNA". It matches the Rfam family "Bacterial small subunit ribosomal RNA", at positions 30 to 523 of the family's 1533-position model. The record is from RNAcentral.